Schistosoma curassoni is the source of this 45-nucleotide non-coding RNA. Lineage: Eukaryota; Metazoa; Platyhelminthes; Trematoda; Strigeidida; Schistosomatidae. The record is from Rfam.
AUCUAGCUGAUGAGUCCAAAAUAAGACGAUACUCUCAUCCUGGAU